Molecule: long non-coding RNA, 1109 nt
Organism: Magallana angulata
Lineage: Eukaryota; Metazoa; Mollusca; Bivalvia; Ostreida; Ostreidae
Exons: 6
Source: RefSeq, a predicted model, not a curated record
ACUAUAGAUUUCUAUGAACGUACUAAAUUUAAAUACAAAAUGAAAACUUUCGUGAAUAUAAAAAAUAUACUUCACUGAAGAGACCUGGAACGUGUUGCAAUUCAUGGAUUAUUUUAAGUGUUGUUAGCUGUUCAGUGUUUUUUUCUGGAUCAUUUCAAAUGCAGUGAAUAUCUGUGGAAUAUAAAAUAUAAAGACUUUAAUUUACAAAAAUACUUCAGUUUUAAGUAAAUUGAAGAUUCCUUUAAGGAAAUGUUUAAUUAUUGGUAACAAGUUUUACCAAUGUAGAAGAUGGACACAGAUUCCAAACGUUUUGAAGACGCCGGCAAUAGAGUCGAACGUGGUAUGGGUAUUUCCCCAAAAGUCUUGUACCAUUCUCGUCCAGUUUCUUCGCAGCCUUGUCCACAGCCUUUCGAAGCCGAGGGUCGCUCACCUCAAAGUCAACAUCGUCCAGACCCUCCAUCAUCUCGCUGUCAUCGCUUAGGACGCUUCCAGACGAAGCCAGGCGUUCGCGAGGAGGCGAGGAUCUGGAGCUCAUCAUCGAUUUAACCCAAACGAAAACGAUUGACCAUGGAAAUGACCAUUAAUUACCCUUGAAGUUCUGACCACACAAGAAGUCCACACAGAUCAAGUUCAGAAACUUUUUUUAUAUUAUAAAGUUCUGAAACUACCGCACGCUAAGGCACAUUGGACUAUUGAGGUGACUCACUCUACCUUAACUUUUGGACGGCUACCAACUUAUAAAGAAAACAAAAAAACAUCUCCAAAGUUGACGUUUAGAACUUCUUCCAACAACUCGGAUCAGGAUAAAAAAGACUUUUUGUUAUAAUGUGAUUUUGUUCUUCGUUGAUCUACAUAAUUUGCCUGUUAUUAUAUAGUGACGAAAAUUAAUCGUACAAUCACCGUCUGUGACACAGAACUUCAUGUGAUUUUUGAACGAGGCCCCACGGGGAUUCAUAUGGAGAAAAAAUUAUCUUCCUUUGCUGAAGGGAUUAAAAUUUCCGUUCACUCAAGACCGGAUUAAGCACGUUUGCUCUACCACUGCACAGCAAGGGCGGUUAGAUGAGCGUUUCCUUGUUCUCUGAAUAUUUCUCUUAUUAGCCAUUAAAUAA